CUCUCUGAGGGCCACUGUUGGUGGAGAAGUGUCCUAAUGGUUGAAAGGUUUUCACCAUGACAGAGACCUCAGUUUUGGCUAGGAGUUCAAGGCAGCACAAAUGCCACCCACUCUGUCCUCAAAAUAACCUUGAGAGGCUGCCUCACAACCAUGAACUUCUAGGUGUUCAGCACUUCUCAUUUCUGGAAAUGCAUGCGCGUUCAAGACUGGUGCAUCAGUUAAAAGUGGAGAAAAGUAAGUUGAUGCAGACAAAAAGUUGAAAGAAAGCAUUAACAGCAGCCUGGUCAGGCAACCACAGCAGAGCUAUGAACAAGUUCUUUUCCACCCCCACAGCCCCUUUGUGGUACAAACAAUAA
Molecule: long non-coding RNA, 356 nt
Organism: Lacerta agilis (Sand lizard)
Lineage: Eukaryota; Metazoa; Chordata; Lepidosauria; Squamata; Lacertidae
Exons: 3
Source: RefSeq, a predicted model, not a curated record